CUUAAAGCCUCGAUGAUGGGUUGAUAAGUGAAGCAAACCACUAGGGAACAUGUAAAGCUUUGUUACAAACCUGCACAUUCUGCACAUGGAUCCCAAAACUGAAAGUAAAAAAAACAAUUUGUAUUUCCUGUCUUUGCUAUUGUGAAUAGUGCUGCAAUGAACAUUUGUGUGCAUGUAUCUUUAUGGUAGAAUUAUUUUUAUUUCUCUGGGUAUAUAAGCAGUAAUAGGAUUGCUGGGUCAAAUGGUAGUCUCUUGUACUGCCUCUGGAUUAGGGAGAGCAGCUGCACUCC
RNAcentral lists this long non-coding RNA (290 nucleotides) under Pan troglodytes (chimpanzee). RNAcentral's name for it is "long non-coding RNA NONPTRT013987". Lineage: Eukaryota; Metazoa; Chordata; Mammalia; Primates; Hominidae. The record is from RNAcentral.